RNAcentral lists this ribosomal RNA (512 nucleotides) under Davidius nanus. Its description in RNAcentral is "partial 16S rRNA". It matches the Rfam family "Bacterial large subunit ribosomal RNA", at positions 1831 to 2597 of the family's 2925-position model. Lineage: Eukaryota; Metazoa; Arthropoda; Insecta; Odonata; Gomphidae. The record is from RNAcentral.
GUCCUCUUGUUUAUAUAUGAGGUCAGACCUGCCCGGUGAAUUUUAUUUUAACGGCCGCGGUAUUUUGACCGUGCAAAGGUAGCAUAAUCAUUAGUCUUUUAAUAGGAGGCUGGAAUGAAGGGUUUGACGAGGUGUUGACUGUCUCAUUUAAUUUGAAAUUAAAAUUUAACUUUUCAGUUAAAAGGCUGAAAUUAUAUUGGAAGACGAGAAGACCCUAUAGAGCUUCAUAGUUACAGUUUUAAUUAAUUAUUGUUUAAUCAUUAUUUUUUAUAAUUAUACCUAUUUUGUUGGGGUGACAAAAAUAUAAAAGUAACUUUUUUAUUUAGUGUUCAUUGAUUUAUGAACUUUAGAUCCAAUUUUAUUGAUUGUUAGAAUAAGUUACCUUAGGGAUAACAGCGUAAUCUUCCUUCAGAGUUCAUAUUUACAGGAAGGAUUGCGACCUCGAUGUUGGAUUAAGAUAAUAAUUAGGUGUAGCCGCUUAAUUUAUAGGUCUGUUCGACCUUUAAACUCUU